RNAcentral lists this ribosomal RNA (253 nucleotides) under uncultured bacterium. RNAcentral describes it as "partial 16S ribosomal RNA". It matches the Rfam family "Bacterial small subunit ribosomal RNA", at positions 524 to 776 of the family's 1533-position model. The record is from RNAcentral.
UACGUAGGGUGCGAGCGUUGUCCGGAAUUACUGGGCGUAAAGAGCUCGUAGGUGGUUUGUCGCGUUGUUCGUGAAAACUCACAACUCAAUUGUGGGCGUGCGGGCGAUACGGGCAGACUGGAGUACUGCAGGGGAGAGUGGAAUUCCUGGUGUAGCGGUGAAAUGCGCAGAUAUCAGGAAGAACACCGAUGGCGAAGGCGGCAUCCUGGACCGACACUGACGCUGAGGCGCGAAAGCUAGGGGAGCAAACGGG